AAAUUGAAGAGUUUGAUCAUGGCUCAGAUUGAACGCUGGCGGCAGGCCUAACACAUGCAAGUCGAACGGUAACAGGAAGCAGCUUGCUGUUUCGCUGACGAGUGGCGGACGGGUGAGUAAUGUCUGGGAAACUGCCUGAUGGAGGGGGGUAACUACUGGAAACGGUAGCUAAUACCGCAUAACGUCGCAAGACCAAAGAGGGGGACCUUCGGGCCUCUUGCCAUCGGAUGUGCCCAGAUGGGAUUAGCUAGUAGGUGGGGUAACGGCUCACCU
Molecule: ribosomal RNA, 273 nt
Filed under: Shigella flexneri
Lineage: Bacteria; Pseudomonadati; Pseudomonadota; Gammaproteobacteria; Enterobacterales; Enterobacteriaceae
Description: partial 16S ribosomal RNA
Rfam family: Bacterial small subunit ribosomal RNA
Source: RNAcentral